RNAcentral lists this ribosomal RNA (229 nucleotides) under uncultured bacterium. RNAcentral's name for it is "partial 16S ribosomal RNA". It matches the Rfam family "Bacterial small subunit ribosomal RNA", at positions 118 to 346 of the family's 1533-position model. The record is from RNAcentral.
UGAGCAACCUGCCCUUGACCCUGGAAUAACAGCUGGAAACAGCUGCUAAUACCGGAUACAACCUCCGAUGGCAUCAUCUGGAGGUGGAAAGCUCCGACGGUCAAGGAUGGGCUCGCGGCCUAUCAGCUUGUUGGUGAGGUAAUGGCUCACCAAGGCUUCGACGGGUAGCCGGCCUGAGAGGGUGACCGGCCACACUGGGACUGAGACACGGCCCAGACCUCGUACGGGA